UUAGGGUGGGGGGGCGGGGGGGGGCAGAGGUUGAGUGGGUUAAUGUGUAGGGUGUGCUUCUGCAUGAAUGUCAGCAUAUGUGUGCGUGUGCGUGUUAGGGGCAGCUGGUCCUCGGAAAGAGGAGUGAGCCAUCAUCCGGAGGCAAGCCCCUCCCUCGCAGCACCGCACCCUCCCCCUCGCCUCUCACCUCUAACCUCUCACCCCUCACCCUCAACAGCAGCAUGAUACGGCUUUGAGAGCAUUGGGGUGAGCUAGGCCGCGUUCUGCUUGCAUCAGCAUCCUCUGUGUCCUCCAAAUUGCCUUCGAAAGCACUUAGUUCAAUAGGAGGGGAUGGGGGGGGGCGGCUAAGGACUGUUUCUGUCGUGUUUGCCAUGUUUGCAGCAUUUGCAUGGCAUCGGCACCGACACUGAGGGACAACAAGAAUUGUAGAAGUUGAUGUAAAUGCGCAGCUCGCACUGAGGUCCUCGGGGUUGGGUGAACAGAAGGGCUGUUUUUGGGGUUCACACAGUAUCGAAGGGGAAACUGAAUUGACUCAAAGAGACACAAUUUGUUGAAGAUGGCCACAAACUAAAUCCUUUUUAUUCCAUUUUAUUUUAUGCACUACACAAUAUCAAUAUAUGGAGACAAGUGAACGAUGGAAAGGUGGCAAGGAAAAAGGCAUCAGAGAGGUUCCUUGCCCUUCCUCAUGUGUCACCAGUCUGAUUGUCUUCCCAGAUUCCUGGUUGUGUCCACCUAUUCCCACACUUCCCUCGUGUGUACUUAUAGUCUGCGUCUCCCCUUGUCCUGCGCCAGUGGGUCAUGUCCUUUCGUCUUGGCACACAUCAUUUUGUAUUGCCCAGCUCUAUUAGUUUAGCCAGAGCAUUUCCCCGUCCAUCCCUCUCCGGAGGGGUUUUUGGUUUCCCGGGAUUUCCCUGUGUAUUUUUGUUGGGAAAUAAAAUCUUGUCAGCUGAACCUCUACUCUGUGUACGAGUCCUCCUCAAGAGCUCCCUUCGUGACAAAAAUAUUUCACUUUUUCGUUCCGAGCAAACUUCAGCCACCUUUUCAACGAUUCAGCAAUGAUCUUCAAGGGUCACUAAAGGCCAGGUAACGCUCCGAGGUAGUUGGUUUGUAUGAUGUGUUGGCUGUAAGAGGUCAGA
This is a long non-coding RNA of Gasterosteus aculeatus aculeatus (three-spined stickleback), 1136 nucleotides long. Lineage: Eukaryota; Metazoa; Chordata; Actinopteri; Perciformes; Gasterosteidae. The record is from Ensembl.